CAUGGUUGUCGUCAGCUCGUGUCGUGAGAUGUUGGUUAAGUCCGCAACGAGCGCAACCCCUAUUGUUAGUUGCCAUCAUUCAGUUGGGCACUCUAGCGAGACUGCCGGUAAUAAACCGGAGGAAGGUGGGGAUGACGUCAAAUCAUCAUGCCCCUUGUGACCUGGGCUACACACGUGCUACAAUGGUUGGUACAACGAGUUGCGAGUCGGUGACGGCGAGCUAAUCUCUUAAAGCCAAUCUCAGUUCGGAUUGUAGGCUGCAACUCGCCUACAUGAAGUCGGAAUCGCUAGUAAUCGCGGAUCAGCACGCCGCGGUGAAUACGUUCCCGGGCCUU
This 335-nucleotide ribosomal RNA is filed under the name uncultured Streptococcus sp. RNAcentral's name for it is "bacterial SSU rRNA". It matches the Rfam family "Bacterial small subunit ribosomal RNA", at positions 1044 to 1382 of the family's 1533-position model. Lineage: Bacteria; Bacillati; Bacillota; Bacilli; Lactobacillales; Streptococcaceae. The record is from RNAcentral.